Molecule: ribosomal RNA, 490 nt
Filed under: Parnassius mnemosyne angorae
Lineage: Eukaryota; Metazoa; Arthropoda; Insecta; Lepidoptera; Papilionidae
Description: partial 16S ribosomal RNA
Source: RNAcentral
UUUUUGAAUUGAUAAUUUAAAGUCUAAUCUGCCCACUGAUAAUAAAUUAAAGGGCUGCAGUAUAUUGACUGUACAAAGGUAGCAUAAUCAAUAGUCUCUUAAUUGGUGACUUGUAUGAAAGAUUUAAUGAGAUAUAAACUGUCUCUUUAUAAUUUUUAGAAUUUAAUUUUUUAGUUAAAAAGCUAAAAUAUAUUUAAAAGACNNNNNNNNNNNNNNNNNNNNAAUAUUUAAUAUGUAUAUUAAAUAUUUUUUAUGAAAUUUAAAAUUUUAAUAUUUAUAAAUAUUUUGUUGGGGUGACAGAAAAAUUAAAAUAACUUUUUUUAUAAUUUUACAUUAAUAAAUGGUUAAAUGAUCCGUAAUUUACGAUUAUAAGAAAAAAUUACCUUAGGGAUAACAGCGUAAUUUUUUUUUUUAGUUCAAAUAAGAAAAAAAGUUUGCGACCUCGAUGUUGGAUUAAGAUAAAAUUUAAAUGCAAAAGUUUAAAAUUUUU